CUCAGAUUGAACGCUGGCGGCAGGCCUAACAACAUGCAAGUCGAACGGUAACAGGAAGCAGCUUGCUGCUUCGCUGACGAGUGGCGGACGGGUGAGUAAUGUCUGGGAAACUGCCUGAUGGAGGGGGGAUAAACUACUGGAAACGGUAGCUAAUACCGCAUAACGUCGCAAGACCAAAGAGGGGGACCUUCGGGCCUCUUGCCAUCGGAUGUGCCCAGAUGGGAUUAGCUAGUAGGUGGGGUAACGGCUCACCUAGGCGACGAUCCCUAGCUGGUCUGAGAGGAUGACCAGCCACACUGGAACUGAGACACGGUCCAGACUCCUACGGGAGGCAGCAGUGGGAAUAUUGCACAAUGGGCGCAAGCCUGAUGCAGCCAUGCCCGCGUGUAUGAAGAAGGCCUUCGGGUUAGUAAAGUACUUUCAGCGGGGAGGAAGGGAGUAAAGUUAAUACCUUUGCUCAUUGACGUUACCCGCAGAAGAAGCACCGGCUAACUCCGUGCCAGCCGCCGC
RNAcentral lists this ribosomal RNA (510 nucleotides) under uncultured bacterium. RNAcentral describes it as "bacterial SSU rRNA". It matches the Rfam family "Bacterial small subunit ribosomal RNA", at positions 23 to 518 of the family's 1533-position model. The record is from RNAcentral.